CCUACGGGAGGCUGCAGUGAGGAAUAUUGGUCAAUGGCCGUAAGGCUGAACCAGCCAAGUAGCGUGAGGGAAGACUGCCCUAUGGGUUGUAAACCUCUUUUAUGCGGGGAUAAAGGUGUCCACGUGUGGAUGUUUGCAGGUACCUUAGGAAUAAGCCUCGGCUAACUACGUGCCAGCAGCCGCGGUAAUACGUAGGAGGCAAGCGUUAUCCGGAAUGACUGGGCGGAAAGGGUGCGUAGGUGGUUUGAUAAGUUGGUAGCGUAACUCCGAGGCUCAACCUCGGCACUACUACCAAAACUGUCGGACUUGAGUGCAGGAGAGGCAACUGGAAUUCCUAGUGUAGCGGUGGAAUGCGUAGAUAUUAGGAGGAACACCAGUGGCGAAGGCGAGUUGCUGGACUGUAACUGACACUGAGGCACGAAAGCGUGGGGAGCAAACAGGAUUAGAUACCCCUGUAGUC
RNAcentral lists this ribosomal RNA (460 nucleotides) under uncultured bacterium. RNAcentral's name for it is "partial 16S ribosomal RNA". It matches the Rfam family "Bacterial small subunit ribosomal RNA", at positions 338 to 795 of the family's 1533-position model. The record is from RNAcentral.